This 574-nucleotide ribosomal RNA is filed under the name Bacillus sp. (in: firmicutes). RNAcentral's name for it is "bacterial SSU rRNA". It matches the Rfam family "Bacterial small subunit ribosomal RNA", at positions 194 to 754 of the family's 1533-position model. The record is from RNAcentral. Lineage: Bacteria; Bacillati; Bacillota; Bacilli; Caryophanales; Bacillaceae.
UCAGACAUAAAAGGUGGCUUCGGCUACCACUUACAGAUGGACCCGCGGCGCAUUAGCUAGUUGGUGAGGUAACGGCUCACCAAGGCGACGAUGCGUAGCCGACCUGAGAGGGUGAUCGGCCACACUGGGACUGAGACACGGCCCAGACUCCUACGGGAGGCAGCAGUAGGGAAUCUUCCGCAAUGGACGAAAGUCUGACGGAGCAACGCCGCGUGAGUGAUGAAGGUUUUCGGAUCGUAAAGCUCUGUUGUUAGGGAAGAACAAGUGCCGUUCAAAUAGGGCGGCACCUUGACGGUACCUAACCAGAAAGCCACGGCUAACUACGUGCCAGCAGCCGCGGUAAUACGUAGGUGGCAAGCGUUGUCCGGAAUUAUUGGGCGUAAAGGGCUCGCAGGCGGUUUCUUAAGUCUGAUGUGAAAGCCCCCGGCUCAACCGGGGAGGGUCAUUGGAAACUGGGGAACUUGAGUGCAGAAGAGGAGAGUGGAAUUCCACGUGUAGCGGUGAAAUGCGUAGAGAUGUGGAGGAACACCAGUGGCGAAGGCGACUCUCUGGUCUGUAACUGACGCUGAGGAGC